UACGAAGGGGGCUAGCGUUGCUCGGAAUCACUGGGCGUAAAGGGUGCGUAGGCGGGUCUUUAAGUCAGGGGUGAAAUCCUGGAGCUCAACUCCAGAACUGCCUUUGAUACUGAGGACCUUGAGUUCGGGAGAGGUGAGUGGAACUGCGAGUGUAGAGGUGAAAUUCGUAGAUAUUCGCAAGAACACCAGUGGCGAAGGCGGCUUACUGGUCCGAUACUGACGCUGAGGUGCGAAAGCGUGGGGAGCAAACAGG
This 253-nucleotide ribosomal RNA is filed under the name uncultured bacterium. RNAcentral's name for it is "partial 16S ribosomal RNA". It matches the Rfam family "Bacterial small subunit ribosomal RNA", at positions 524 to 776 of the family's 1533-position model. The record is from RNAcentral.